UAGGGAAUCUUCCGCAAUGGACGCAAGUCUGACGGAGCAACGCCGCGUGAGUGAAGAAGGAUUUCGGUUCGUAAAACUCUGUUGUUAGAGAAGAACAGCGCAUAGAGUAACUGUUAUGCGUGUGACGGUAUCUAACCAGAAAGCCACGGCUAACUACGUGCCAGCAGCCGCGGUAAUACGUAGGUGGCAAGCGUUGUCCGGAUUUCUUGGGCGUAAAGCGAGCGCAGGCGGUCAAUUAAGUCUGAUGUGAAAGCCCCCGGCUCAACCGGGGAGGGUCAUUGGAAACUGGUUGACUUGAGUGCAGAAGAGGAGAGUGGAAUUCCAUGUGUAGCGGUGAAAUGCGUAGAUAUAUGGAGGAACACCAGUGGCGAAGGCGACUCUCUGGUCUGUAACUGACGCUGAGGCUCGAAAGCGUGGGUAGCAAACAGG
RNAcentral lists this ribosomal RNA (429 nucleotides) under Bacteroidota bacterium. RNAcentral describes it as "Bacteroidetes bacterium partial 16S ribosomal RNA". It matches the Rfam family "Bacterial small subunit ribosomal RNA", at positions 355 to 776 of the family's 1533-position model. The record is from RNAcentral. Lineage: Bacteria; Pseudomonadati; Bacteroidota.